Molecule: ribosomal RNA, 301 nt
Filed under: uncultured bacterium
Lineage: Bacteria
Description: partial 16S ribosomal RNA
Rfam family: Bacterial small subunit ribosomal RNA
Source: RNAcentral
CAGUCGCCGCGGGAAUACAGAGGGUGCGAGCGUUAAUCGGAUUUACUGGGCGUAAAGCGUGCGUAGGCGGCUUUUUAAGUCGGAUGUGAAAUCCCUGAGCUUAACUUAGGAAUUGCAUUCGAUACUGGGAAGCUAGAGUAUGGGAGAGGAUGGUAGAAUUCCAGGUGUAGCGGUGAAAUGCGUAGAGAUCUGGAGGAAUACCGAUGGCGAAGGCAGCCAUCUGGCCUAAUACUGACGCUGAGGUACGAAAGCAUGGGGAGCAAACAGGAUUAGAUACCCCGGUAGUCCCUGUCUCUUUACA